CCCCAGACUCCUACGGGAGGCAGCAGUGGGGAAUAUUGCACAAUGGGGGAAACCCUGAUGCAGCGACGCCGCGUGAGUGAAGAAGUAAUUCGUUAUGUAAAGCUCUAUCAGCAGGGAAGAAAAUGACGGUACCUGAGUAAGAAGCCCCGGCUAACUACGUGCCAGCAGCCGCGGUAAUACGUAGGGGGCAAGCGUUAUCCGGAUUUACUGGGUGUAAAGGGAGCGUAGACGGCAGUGCAAGUCUGGAGUGAAAGGCGGAGGCUCAACCCCCGGACUGCUCUGGAAACUGUACGGCUGGAGUGCAGGAGAGGGAAGUGGAAUUCCUAGUGUAGCGGUGAAAUGCGUAGAUAUUAGGAGGAACACCAGUGGCGAAGGCGGCGUACUGGACGUUAACUGACGGUGAGGCUCGAAAGCGUGGGGAGCAAACAGGAUUAGAUACCCGCGUAAAA
Molecule: ribosomal RNA, 449 nt
Filed under: uncultured bacterium
Lineage: Bacteria
Description: bacterial SSU rRNA
Rfam family: Bacterial small subunit ribosomal RNA
Source: RNAcentral